UUGCUUUGGCAGCGUGUACACUAAGAUCAGAAGAAUAGAGAGAAGGUUAUCAUGAUCCCAGCAAAAGGAUAGUAUGCAAAUUUGUGAAGCGGUCCUUUUUUUU
Molossus molossus (Pallas's mastiff bat) is the source of this 103-nucleotide small nuclear RNA. The record is from RefSeq and is a predicted model, not a curated record. Lineage: Eukaryota; Metazoa; Chordata; Mammalia; Chiroptera; Molossidae.